Molecule: RNA transcript, 1221 nt
Organism: Brassica napus (rape)
Lineage: Eukaryota; Viridiplantae; Streptophyta; Magnoliopsida; Brassicales; Brassicaceae
Gene name: kinesin-like protein KIN-5D
Exons: 6
Source: RefSeq, a predicted model, not a curated record
UACCGGCUGGGCUUUUGUUUGGGCUUGUCUCAUGUUUUGUUUUCGGCUCAGCAAGAACCUAAGUAUAGGAAAACAUGGGUGUUCUUCGUUGUUCUUCCUUCGGCGGAUACGGUGACGAUCGGUUGUCCUAGCCGUUUCUGUAACUCAGCCCGUUGUGAUUUCACCAUCUUUAAGCCCAUUAAAUCGAGCGUUGUUCAGUCGGCGAUAUCGUGUAUAAAUAGAUUCGUAUCUCACUUAUGGGAAUCGUGUUCUCCACAUCUCUCUCUUACUCAAAUCUUAGAUCUCAUCUCUCUUAAUGGCUAACUCGGUGGUGUUUUUUUCCGACUUGAAGUCCGGUAAAUGUUCAUCGAUGCCAGGCUGCUGCGAUUCUGGGAGGCUAGGAAUGUGAAGCGCGGUGGUGAGCUAAUGUGGCUUGAUUUGCUCCUGGUGGAUGUUAAUAAGAGAGAAAUCUUUCAUGAUUCGGCUCCACUGUUGUGGCACUCUGUUGAAUCGAACUAUCACAAUAACACUUUAGCGGCUGGGAGUGGGAAGAAGACGAUGCAAGAAGUUCUCUUGAACAGGCAGAUAUGAUUGCACAUCAAUGGAGGAAAGCUUAAGAAUCCCUGAUUCGUUGAAAUUCAAUAAUGAUGCAUGUACUAGGAUCAACUCCAUGAUCAUCCCAUGCUGUGAAGACUUGAUAGAGCCCAAGAGUGAUCACAGUCACAAGGUCAUAGAGAUCACAAACAUCGCAUGGAAAUAUCUUCUUGAUGAAAACUUAGAAUGUUCCUUGGUGCAAACAGGUGAAUGAAGCUUCGUGUUCAACGCCCAUGAAAAGACCAAACGACAUACCAAGCAUUGAGUCCACUGAGGAACUUAGAAUUCAAGCAUCUAAGACUUAUCGAGAGCGUUUCAAUUUUCAAGAUGGGAAACUGUUGAAGCAGGCCAGUGGUGAUGCAAAGCAGCAGCACCAGCAGCAACAACACCUUACACGUGCUUCCUCUGUUUACUAAGCAGCUGUAUCGGAUUCAAGAUCUCCCUUCUCCCUGCUGUUAACUGAGACCAAAGGUUAUUAUUGUGUCACACUCUACAGAGAGAAAAUUGUUGCAUACAUGUCAACUUAUUUUUUUCGUGGAGGUAGUUUGAGGAUUUUACAAAGUCGUUAUUUGGUUAGUUAAGAUUUGUAUUGUUUAUUAGUUGGAACCAAAUAUAUUAUUAUCUUAUGAAUCAGUAUAUUAUGAGUCA